UACGUAGGUGGCAAGCGUUAUCCGGAAUUAUUGGGCGUAAAGAGCGCGCAGGUGGUUAAUUAAGUCUGAUGUGAAAGCCCACGGCUUAACCGUGGAGGGUCAUUGGAAACUGGUUGACUUGAGUGCAGAAGAGGGAAGUGGAAUUCCACGUGUAGCGGUGAAAUGCGUAGAGAUAUGGAGGAACACCAGUGGCGAAGGCGGCUUCCUGGUCUGCAACUGACACUGAGGCGCGAAAGCGUGGGGAGCAAACAGG
RNAcentral lists this ribosomal RNA (253 nucleotides) under uncultured bacterium. Its description in RNAcentral is "partial 16S ribosomal RNA". It matches the Rfam family "Bacterial small subunit ribosomal RNA", at positions 524 to 776 of the family's 1533-position model. The record is from RNAcentral.